CAACAAGAGAGAAAACUGAUCGAGGAGGAAAUGAUGAGUUCAGGUCCAGAUUUGGUAGCAAUUUUGGAGCAGUUGCACGCUACAAGGGCGACAGCGAAAGAGAGACAAAAAAACCUAGAGAAGAGUAUAAGGGAAGAGGCUCGCCGGCUCAAGGAUGAGAGUGGUGGGGAUGGUGAUAGGGAUAGGAGGGGGCUUAUUGAUAGAGAUAUGGAG
Molecule: unclassified non-coding RNA, 213 nt
Filed under: Hevea brasiliensis (rubber tree)
Lineage: Eukaryota; Viridiplantae; Streptophyta; Magnoliopsida; Malpighiales; Euphorbiaceae
Source: RNAcentral